AUCACUGGACUGAGCCGCAAUACCUGGCUGGGCUGCCACAACUGGCUGAACUGCCACGGCUGGCUGAACUGCUGGAACCUGAGCCUAAGGAGCUACCGGCUCUGGAGUACGAGUAUCGUGAGUCAGAACUCCUCCCCCAGCCUGAGAUGUGGCUGGAGCUACGGGAAGCAAACCCGCUCUAGAAAUGCCCUCCAUAAAGCCUACCAGUCGGACCAAAGCGUCCUGAAGCACUGGAGUGGCUAUGAAACCCUCUGGGACCUGAGCUGGGCCCACUAGAAUAGCUGGGGCCGGAACCUCAUCCUCGAAAUCGACCUGAGGCUCCGUCGCUGGAAAUUCUGCUCGGGGCUGAGCUCUGCCCCGGCCUCGGCCUCGCCUUCUGCCGCUAAUAUGGGCUGUUGCUGGGAGCUCAAGCUGUUACGCGGUAGAAGAAGAAGCACGUGUCCUCGCCAUCUACAAAAGAACAGAGUGGAACGACAAUCAGUACUUGAGAAACAGAAUCGCACGACAAGAAUGAACAAGGUGAAGUCUUCCUAACUCAGUAGCCUCUACGGGAUAAAUACAGACGUCUCCGUACCGAUCUCUCAGACUCUACUAAGCUUGUCCAUGAGUUGUGAAACCUGAGUAACCUAGUGCUCUGAUACCAACUUGUCACGACCCGAAUUUCCCACCAUCGGGUGUCGUGAUGGCGCCUACUAUCGGGGCUAGGCAAGCCAAAUAUUUAAAACAUCUUUCCUACUUUCUUUCAAACAAUAUAAUAAACGAGACAAAAUUUAAGCGAAAGACUUUAAAUCUAAAGCAACUGAAAACCAAAAGUGCGGAAGUUGAAUACACAUCACUAUCCAAGGUCUGGUGUAACUAGCUCACGGACUACUACAGAAUACUACAAACAAUGUCUGAAAGGAAAUACAUCAUGUUUGUCUGAUACAAGAUGAACAAACGAAAAACAUGGAAAGGGAAUUUGGUCUGCGAAUGCCAGCUAGGCUACCUCGAGAGUCCUUGGACUGAAGAUAGCUCCUAGAAGUCCUACUGCUGCGGUCCGUAAGCUUCUCCCUGAUCUGUGCACCAAAAAUGCAUAGAGUGUAGCAUCAGCACAACCGACCCCAUGUGCUGGUAAGUGUCUGGCCUAACCCCGGCGAAGUAGUGACGAGGCUAGACAGUACCUACCACAAUUAACCUGUACAGAUAUAUAUACAACAAGUGCAAGAAAACAAUAACAAGAUAAUACGAAGUAAAACUGGGAGGGGACAUGCUAUCGGGGAGUAACAGAUAAAAAUGAAAUAUCGAAAAUAAGCAGAAGAGACUCCGGUUCCCAUGAUGUAUAUAUAUAUAAGUGGACGGCGUGCCACACGAUCCCAUGAUAUCAUAUAUAAGUGGACGGCGUGCCACACGAUCCCAUAAUAU
RNAcentral lists this long non-coding RNA (1401 nucleotides) under Nicotiana tabacum (common tobacco). RNAcentral's name for it is "long non-coding RNA (NTAB_LNC017311)". The record is from RNAcentral. Lineage: Eukaryota; Viridiplantae; Streptophyta; Magnoliopsida; Solanales; Solanaceae.